UUUACCCCGCAGAAAGAAGCACCGGGUUAAUUCCGGUCCCAGCAGCCGCGGGUAAUACGGAAGGGUCCAAGCGUUAAUCGGAAUUACUGGGCGUAAAGCGCACGCAGGCGGUCUGUCAAGUCGGAUGUGAAAUCCCCGGGCUCAACCUGGGAACUGCAUCCGAAACUGGCAGGCUUGAGUCUCGUAGAGGGGGGUAGAAUUCCAGGUGUAGCGGUGAAAUGCGUAGAGAUCUGGAGGAAUACCGGUGGCGAAGGCGGCCCCCUGGACGAAGACUGACGCUCAGGUGCGAAAGCGUGGGGAGCAAACAGGAUUAGAUACCCUGGUAGUCCACGCCGUAAACGAUGUCGACUUGGAGGUUGUGCCCUUGAGGCGUGGCUUCCGGAGCUAACGCGUUAAGUCGACCGCCUGGGGAGUACGGCCGCAAGGUUAAAACUCAAAUGAAUUGACGGGGGCCCGCACAAGCGGUGGAGCAUGUGGUUUAAUUCGAUGCAACGCGAAGAACCUUACCUGGUCUUGACAUCCACAGAACUUUCCAGAGAUGGAUUGGUGCCUUCGGGAACUGUGAGACAGGUGCUGCAUGGCUGUCGUCAGCUCGUGUUGUGAAAUGUUGGGUUAAGUCCCGCAACGAGCGCAACCCUUAUCCUUUGUUGCCAGCGGUUAGGCCGGGAACUCAAAGGAGACUGCCAGUGAUAAACUGGAGGAAGGUGGGGAUGACGUCAAGUCAUCAUGGCCCUUACGACCAGGGCUACACACGUGCUACAAUGGCGCAUACAAAGAGAAGCGAUCUCGCGAGAGCCAGCGGACCUCAUAAAGUGCGUCGUAGUCCGGAUUGGAGUCUGCAACUCGACUCCAUGAAGUCGGAAUCGCUAGUAAUCGUGAAUCAGAAUGUCACGGUGAAUACGUUCCCGGGCCUUGUACACACCGCCCGUCACACCAUGGGAGUGGGUUGCAAAAGAAGUAGGUAGCUUAACCUUCGGGAGGGCGCUUACCACUUUGUGAUUCAUGACUGGGGUGAAGUCGUAACAAGGUC
RNAcentral lists this ribosomal RNA (1030 nucleotides) under Atlantibacter hermannii. RNAcentral's name for it is "bacterial SSU rRNA". It matches the Rfam family "Bacterial small subunit ribosomal RNA", at positions 472 to 1498 of the family's 1533-position model. Lineage: Bacteria; Pseudomonadati; Pseudomonadota; Gammaproteobacteria; Enterobacterales; Enterobacteriaceae. The record is from RNAcentral.